This 472-nucleotide ribosomal RNA is filed under the name uncultured bacterium. Its description in RNAcentral is "partial 16S ribosomal RNA". It matches the Rfam family "Bacterial small subunit ribosomal RNA", at positions 28 to 507 of the family's 1533-position model. The record is from RNAcentral.
GACGAACGCUGGCGGCGUGCUUAACACAUGCAAGUCGAACGCUGAAGCUUGGUGCUUGCACUGGGUGGAUGAGUGGCGAACGGGUGAGUAAUACGUGAGUAACCUGCCCUUGACUCUGGGAUAAGCCUGGGAAACUGGGUCUAAUACUGGAUACGACAUGUCACCGCAUGGUGGUGUGUGGAAAGGGUUUUACUGGUUUUGGAUGGGCUCACGGCCUAUCAGCUUGUUGGUGGGGUAAUGGCUCACCAAGGCGACGACGGGUAGCCGGCCUGAGAGGGUGACCGGCCACACUGGGACUGAGACACGGCCCAGCCUCCUACGGGAGGCAGCAGUGGGGAAUAUUGCACAAUGGGCGGAAGCCUGAUGCAGCGACGCCGCGUGAGGGAUGACGGCCUUCGGGUUGUAAACCUCUUUCAGCACGGAAGAAGCGAAAGUGACGGUACGUGCAGAAGAAGCGCCGGCUAACUACGUG